GGAUACUAGACGUCGGAUUUCCUAAUAGAUUCGGUGUCGCAGCUAACGCAUUAAGUAUCCCGCCUGGGGAUUACGGUCGCAAGAUUAAAACUCAAAGGAAUUGACGGGGGGCCCGCACAAGCGGUGGAGCAUGUGGUUUAAUUCGAUGCUACGCGAAAAACCUUACCUGGACUUGACAUCCCGGGCUACCCUACGAAAGUAGGGGUUCCCCUUGGGGACCCGGUGACAGGUGCUGCAUGGCUGUCGUCAGCUCGUGUUGUGAGAUGUUGGGUUAAGUCCCGCAACGAGCGCAACCCUCGCCGUUAGUUACCAGCAUUAAGUUGGGCACUCUAACGGGACCGCUAGGCCAUAAGCCAGAGGAAGGUGGGGAUGACGUCAAGUCCUCAUGGCCUUUAUGUCCAGGGCUACACACGUGCUACAAUGGGAGGUACAAAGCGCUGCUAGCUCGCAAGAGUCCGCAAAUCGCAAAAACCCUCUCUCAGUUCGGAUUGGAGUCUGCAACUCGACUCCAUGAAGUUGGAAUCGCUAGUAAUCGCGGAUCAGCACGCCGCGGUGAAUACGUUCCCGGGCCUUGUACACACCGCCCGUCACACCAUGGGAGUUGGUUGUACCGGAAAACGCUGAGUUAACCUUCGGGGGGC
RNAcentral lists this ribosomal RNA (641 nucleotides) under uncultured bacterium. RNAcentral describes it as "bacterial SSU rRNA". It matches the Rfam family "Bacterial small subunit ribosomal RNA", at positions 811 to 1450 of the family's 1533-position model. The record is from RNAcentral.